UGGCAAACCAGUUGAUGACAGUAGUACGGAAUCUCAUCGUGGCUAUAGUAUACCAGAUGAUGACGCAAUCGGCAAACCAGUUGAUGACAGAAGUACGGAAUCUCAUGGUGGCUAUAGUAUACCGGAUGAUGACGCAAGUAAGAAAUCCCUUGGUUUUUCAAACUAUACAUUUAUUGUUGGAGGAAUAGUAGGAGUGUUACUCGUCAUAUGUAUUAUUGUUGGAGUUUGUCUAAUUAGGUAUAACAGAACGUUCUUUUUUGUGU
Molecule: long non-coding RNA, 263 nt
Organism: Mytilus californianus (California mussel)
Lineage: Eukaryota; Metazoa; Mollusca; Bivalvia; Mytilida; Mytilidae
Exons: 5
Source: RefSeq, a predicted model, not a curated record